Molecule: ribosomal RNA, 777 nt
Filed under: uncultured Neocallimastigales
Lineage: Eukaryota; Fungi; Neocallimastigomycota; Neocallimastigomycetes; Neocallimastigales
Description: partial large subunit ribosomal RNA
Rfam family: Eukaryotic large subunit ribosomal RNA
Source: RNAcentral
UGUAGUCUCGCACAGAUGCAUAUCAAUAAGCGGAGGAAAAGAAACUAACAAGGAUUCCCCUAGUAACGGCGAGUGAAGCGGGAAGAGCUCAAAUUUGAAAUCUUAAAGGGUUUCCCUUUACGAAUUGUAGUUUAAAGAAGUGUUUUCUGUUGAGGUUUUGGUAAAAGUUCUUUGGAAUAGGACAUCAUAGAGGGUGAGAAUCCCGUAUUUGACCUUUACUUUCAACUUUGUGAUACACUUUCAAAGAGUCGGAUUGUUUGGGAAUGCAGUCCAAAAUGGGUGGUAAAUUUCAUCUAAAGCUAAAUAUUGGCGAGAGACCGAUAGCGAACAAGUACCGUGAGGGAAAGAUGAAAAGAACUUUGAAAAGAGAGUUAAACAGUACGUGAAAUUGUCAAAAGGGAAGCGUUUGACACCAGUGUUGUUUUUCUGAAAAUCAAUUAAAGAACUGUUUAUGCUAAGCUUGUUUAGACUUUAUCAGCUAUCUGUUUAGUUUUGAGCUUUUCUUUAAUGCACUAUUUCAGUUAACAAGUCAACAUCAAUUUCUUUUGCUGUAAAAAAGCUUGAGGAAGGUGGCUUGAGAUUCGUCUUAAGUGUUUAUAGCCUCUUGCCUAUGCAGUCGGAGAGAUUGAGGUCUGCAGCGUAGAUCCUUCGGGGCUAAAUGCAUUUGUGCUAAGUUAUAGCAUUUUAUAGACAACUUGUUGACUAUGAUUUGUCUUGUAGCUUACUCGCUUAUGUUAUUUUACCUACGCUUAGGAUGUUGACGCGCGUGUGUGCGUG